CCCUGGUGGCUCUUGCCACUUCCCUGUGUUUUGGGGGGCUCUUAAUUGGCAUAUGUCCAAAUAUACUGGUGGGGGGGGUGGGUGGGUGGAACGGUCAGCUCUUCCUGGACUUUCCCCUCAUGAACCCUGUAGUGUGCCAGCAGCCUGUAAAUGCACUUCAUGGUGAAGAUGGGAGCUAUGCAGGAAGAGAACAGUGAACCCAGGAGUACCACUGAACCCCAGACAGAAGAUCAACUCCAGCUCACUUAAGCAAAUAGCUCCCUAAUUUGGUAUCUUUAAUUAUGACCAUACUGAUUGAUUAUAGCAAAUUAGGCAGUUAUCUUCUAAGCUGCUGAAAGAUUAAAAUAAAGAAACUUGCUCCCUAAGUUGGUAUCCUUAUGUAGGAUUGCUGUAUUUAAGAAUACAAAAUGAGCUAUUUAGCAGACGGCUCCUGUGGUAUGCUUAUACCUACGUCUAUCCUGAUGCUCACCUUCAAGACUUCUAGGCCUUUUCCAUUUCACACUCACCCAGUCUCCACUCCUUAAAAUAAAAAUCAUUAAAG
Molecule: non-coding RNA, 541 nt
Organism: Pelobates cultripes (western spadefoot toad)
Lineage: Eukaryota; Metazoa; Chordata; Amphibia; Anura; Pelobatidae
Source: the annotation of a GenBank genome assembly